RNAcentral lists this ribosomal RNA (457 nucleotides) under uncultured bacterium. RNAcentral describes it as "bacterial SSU rRNA". It matches the Rfam family "Bacterial small subunit ribosomal RNA", at positions 923 to 1379 of the family's 1533-position model. The record is from RNAcentral.
GCACAAGCGGUGGAGCAUGUGGUUUAAUUCGAUGCAACGCGAAAAACCUUACCCACCUUUGACAUGUACGGAAUUUGCCAGAGAUGGCUUAGUGCUCGAAAGAGAACCGUAACACAGGUGCUGCAUGGCUGUCGUCAGCUCGUGUCGUGAGAUGUUGGGUUAAGUCCCGCAACGAGCGCAACCCUCGUCCUUAGUUGCCAUCAUUCAGUUGGGCACUCUAGGGAGACUGCCGGUGAUAAGCCGCGAGGAAGGUGGGGAUGACGUCAAGUCCUCAUGGCCCUUACAGGCUGGGCUACACACGUGCUACAAUGGCGGUAACAGUGGGACGCGAAGGGGCGACCCUUGGCAAAUCUCUAAAAGCCGUCUCAGUUCGGAUUGCACUCUGCAACUCGAGUGCAUGAAGUUGGAAUCGCUAGUAAUCGUAGAUCAGCACGCUACGGUGAAUACGUUCCCGGGC